This 478-nucleotide ribosomal RNA is filed under the name uncultured bacterium. RNAcentral describes it as "partial 16S ribosomal RNA". It matches the Rfam family "Bacterial small subunit ribosomal RNA", at positions 28 to 523 of the family's 1533-position model. The record is from RNAcentral.
GACGAACGCUGGCGGCGUGCUUAACACAUGCAAGUCGAACGGUAAGGCCCUUCGGAGUACACGAGUGGCGAACGGGUGAGUAACACGUGGGUGAUCUGCCCUGCACUUCGGGAUAAGCCUGGGAAACUGGGUCUAAUACCGGAUAGGACCACUGCCUGCAUGGGUGGUGGUGGAAAGCUUUUGCGGUGUGGGAUGGGCCCGCGGCCUAUCAGCUUGUUGGUGGGGUGAUGGCCUACCAAGGCGACGACGGGUAGCCGGCCUGGGAGGGUGGCCGGCCACACUGGGACUGAGAUACGGCCCAGACUCCUACGGGAGGCAGCAGUGGGGAAUAUUGCACAAUGGGCGCAAGCCUGAUGAAGCGACGCCGCGUGAGGGAUGACGGCCUUCGGGUUGUAAACCUUUUUCAGUAGGGACGAAGCGCAAGUGACGGUACCUACAGAAGAAGGACCGGCCAACUACGUGCCAGCAGCCGCCGUAA